UUAGGUAGUUGGUGGGGUAAAGGCCCACCAAGCCGACGAUCCAUAGCUGGUCUGAGAGGAUGAUCAGCCACACUGGGACUGAGACACGGCCCAGACUCCUACGGGAGGCAGCAGUAGGGAAUUUUCCACAAUGGGCGAAAGCCUGAUGGAGCAACGCCGCGUGAGGGAUGAAGGUUUUCGGAUCGUAAACCUCUUUGGAGCGGGAAGAAUGGCUUGUGGGUGAAUAAUCCAUGAGCGUGACGGUACCGCUAGAACAAGACACGGCUAACUCUGUGCCAGCAGCCGCGGUAAUACAGAGGUGUCAAACGUUGUCCGGAAUUAUUGGGCGUAAAGGGCGCGUAGGCGGCCGGGUAAGUGAGAUGUGAAAGCUCUGGGCUCAACCCAGGAAUUGCAUUUCAUACUGCUCGGCUAGAGAUUGGUAGAGGAUGGCGGAAUUCCAGGUGUAGCGGUGAAAUGCGUAGAUAUCUGGAGGAACACCUGUGGCGAAGGCGGCUAUCUGGUCCAAUUCUGACGCUGAGGCGCGAAAGCUAGGGGAGCAAACAGGAUUAGAUACCCUGGUAGUCCUAGCUGUAAACGAUGAGUACUAGGUGUUGGAGGUAUUGACCCCUUCAGUGCCGUAGCUAACGCAAUAAGUACUCCGCCUGGGAACUACGGUCGCAAGACUGAAACUCAAAG
Molecule: ribosomal RNA, 675 nt
Filed under: uncultured bacterium
Lineage: Bacteria
Description: bacterial SSU rRNA
Rfam family: Bacterial small subunit ribosomal RNA
Source: RNAcentral